CUUUAAAUGUUGUAUCAUGUAGACAGUGUUUUAAGUUUUGUUUAUGUUUAUUGUUUGUUGAGGCAUGGAGAAGUUUAAAUUGUGUGAUAUUCCAUUUUUAUUUGUUUUUUGUUGUUACUUAAAGUGAUGUUUGUUAGGCAAUGUAGCUGAAUUCCAACAAAAGUUCUGGCAAUCUCAAAGACUGUCACUAGAUCCGUCUCCACAUAUGACACCCUGUGUUACUCCUAUAAAACAUUUUGAUAAUUUUACCACUCAAUCCUGGACUGGUGAUUGUCCCUUAUCCAACCAUAAAACAUUAAUAAAUAAAAAUA
Molecule: long non-coding RNA, 311 nt
Filed under: Mytilus galloprovincialis (Mediterranean mussel)
Lineage: Eukaryota; Metazoa; Mollusca; Bivalvia; Mytilida; Mytilidae
Source: RNAcentral